RNAcentral lists this unclassified non-coding RNA (391 nucleotides) under soil metagenome. RNAcentral's name for it is "partial contains 5.8S ribosomal RNA, internal transcribed spacer 2, and large subunit ribosomal RNA". The stretch from base 1 to 122 matches the Rfam family "5.8S ribosomal RNA", at positions 35 to 154 of the family's 154-position model. The record is from RNAcentral.
GAUGAAGAACGUAGCGAAAUGCGAUACUUGGUGUGAAUUGCAGAAUCCCGUGAACCAUCGAGUCUUUGAACGCAAGUUGCGCCCGAAGCCAUUAGGCCGAGGGCACGCCUGCCUGGGCGUCACACGUCGUUGCCCCCCCAUCUAAUCCUUCGGGAUUGCGGGGGGCGGUUGAUGGCCUCCCGUGCGCCUCGUCGCGCGGUUGGCAUAAAUGCCAAGUCCUCGGCGACGCACGCCACGACAAUCGGUGGUUGCGAAACCUCGGUUGCCCGUCGUGUGCGGUCGUCGCGCAUCGAGGGCUCGAAAAAAUUGCCGGGCUCCGGCUCGACUUUCAACGCGACCCCAGGUCAGGCGGGGUUACCCGCUGAAUUUAAGCAUAUCAAUAAGCGGAGGA